GGAGGAGGCGCCAGAGGGGCUGCCGCGGCCUGAGGGGGCUGAGCUGGUCUCCCCGCCGGGCAGCUGGCCCAGAAGGAGUGAGAGGCCUCAGGGCUGCCUGGUCACCGCACGCUUCAGAGAGGGUUGAGCAAAAUAAGAGCACCCAGCUGCAAGGCACUACUGAAUGAUGGCAAAGCAGAGUUACUUGCUGCAGACUGGAGGACUGGUUGGUUUCAUACACAAAGGCUCCACAGGGUACAUCCACCUUGUAUAUUAAGCCUGCCCUGCAGGUGUUGCUGCCCAGCUGAGGUUGUGUCUGCUUGGGAGGUCACAGAGUGGUUGGGACUGGAAGGGACCUCUGGAGAUCUCCUGGUCCAACCCCCCUUGCUAGAGCAAGAUCCCCUGGAGCAGGUCACAAAGGAACACAUCCAGGCCCACCUGACCACGUGGAUUGGUCACAACUAAGGAAAACCUAAGGAAAAGCUCUAAAAUUAGAGCAAAGACUUGUCUCCCAGGAGAGGCUGGUGCUUUCAUUAGCUGCAAAAUCCAGGAGGAAGUGUCCCUGGACUAGAAAUCAUGAGACUACCAGCUCUGCUGUGGAUUUGUUGCCUGAGUAGAGAAAGAAGCAAUUACAGUUAAGGGAAUGGUCCAGAGCUUAAUUCUGACUCGGGGGCAUCCUGUGCUUUUCCAUCAAUCAGUGCUGGGACUGCAUCUUUGUGCCCUGAAACAGGAAGGUAUGAAAUAAAGUUAAUAACCUGGAGAGUGGCUCCUUUUUCUCCCACUGCUGCUCAGU
This is a long non-coding RNA of Apus apus (common swift), 772 nucleotides long. RefSeq lists it as uncharacterized. The transcript is spliced from 7 exons. NCBI's taxonomy places the organism in Eukaryota, Metazoa, Chordata, Aves, Apodiformes, Apodidae. The record is from RefSeq and is a predicted model, not a curated record.